AUACGGAGGAUCCAAGCGUUAUCCGGAUUUAUUGGGUUUAAAGGGUGCGCAGGCGGCCUUAUGAGUCAGUGGUGAAAUCUCCCGGCUCAACCGGGAAACUGCCAUUGAUACUGUAAGGCUAGAAUACAGACGAGGUAGGCGGAAUGUAGCAUGUAGCGGUGAAAUGCUUAGAUAUGCUACAGAACACCGAUCGCGAAGGCAGCUUACCAGACUGUAAUUGACGCUAAGGCACGAAAGCGUGGGGAGCGAACAGGAUUAGAUACCCGAGUAGUCC
This 274-nucleotide ribosomal RNA is filed under the name uncultured bacterium. RNAcentral describes it as "partial 16S ribosomal RNA". It matches the Rfam family "Bacterial small subunit ribosomal RNA", at positions 523 to 796 of the family's 1533-position model. The record is from RNAcentral.